This is a long non-coding RNA of Danio aesculapii, 586 nucleotides long. RefSeq lists it as uncharacterized. Lineage: Eukaryota; Metazoa; Chordata; Actinopteri; Cypriniformes; Danionidae. The transcript is spliced from 5 exons. The record is from RefSeq and is a predicted model, not a curated record.
CGUUAUCCUCCUGAACAAGAGCAGAGCAGAAGCUUGCUACACCAUCUUUUACCAGAAGAAGAUUCAUUAUCCAUUUUAAGGUUGCGCUGGAUAGAGCGAGUUUUAAUCCUCCUUGAUAAUCUUGUUGAUAAAGGUACCCCUGGAGAUGCCCACUUGCAGCCUUCCAGUUAUCUUUUCUUCGUUGCUAAACUGGUUUGCUCAGGACGGGUAUUUUAUACCCACACACCAAAGAAACUUUUUGAGGUUUGGGGAGAUGCAUCAUUGCGGAUCCUCUCGUAUUGCAAAAAAAGAGAAGAGAGCCUUGGAUCUAUCAGUUCAAGCAAACAUUUCAUCUGACAGCCUUGGAGAUCCCACUUUGGAGAUGGGGCUUUAACAACUCUGCCAGCUAUCCUUUCUCCACUGCCAUACAGAUUGUGCAGCAAGAUGGUUCGGCCCUCAUACCAGGAGGCAAAACAAGAAUUUGUUGAUUUUGCGAAUUCUAGGUGCAUUAUUUAUGACAAUAAAUGUUGGACAUUUAUUUAAUUCAUGUAUGUAUACUUGUAUUUCGUUCAGUACUUAAAGGAGGAGCAACAGAGACAGAACCCUC